This 425-nucleotide ribosomal RNA is filed under the name uncultured bacterium. RNAcentral describes it as "partial 16S ribosomal RNA". It matches the Rfam family "Bacterial small subunit ribosomal RNA", at positions 354 to 796 of the family's 1533-position model. The record is from RNAcentral.
GUGGGGAAUCUUGCGCAAUGGGCGAAAGCCUGACGCAGCCAUGCCGCGUGAAUGAUGAAGGUCUUAGGAUUGUAAAAUUCUUUCACCGGGGACGAUAAUGACGGUACCCGGAGAAGAAGCUCCGGCUAACUUCGUGCCAGCAGCCGCGGUAAUACGAAGGGGGCUAGCGUUGCUCGGAAUUACUGGGCGUAAAGGGCGCGUAGGCGGACAGCUUAGUCAGAGGUGAAAGCCCAGGGCGCAACCUUGGAAUUGCCUUUGAUACUGGCUGUCUUGAGUUUGGGAGAGGUGAGUGGAACUCCGAGUGUAGAGGUGAAAUUCGUAGAUAUUCGGAAGAACACCAGUGGCGAAGGCGACUCACUGGCCCAAUACUGACGCUGAGGCGCGAAAGCGUGGGGAGCAAACAGGAUUAGAAACCCUGGUAGUCC